Molecule: non-coding RNA, 23 nt
Filed under: Arabidopsis thaliana (thale cress)
Lineage: Eukaryota; Viridiplantae; Streptophyta; Magnoliopsida; Brassicales; Brassicaceae
Source: RNAcentral
UAAGAUCGGUUGCGGUUUAAGUU